GCGAACGGGUGAGUAACACGUGGGCAAUCUGCCCUGCACUCUGGGACAAGCCCUGGAAACGGGGUCUAAUACCGGAUAUGACCUUCCUCCGCAUGGGGGUUGGUGUAAAGCUCCGGCGGUGCAGGAUGAGCCCGCGGCCUAUCAGCUUGUUGGUGGGGUAAUGGCCUACCAAGGCGACGACGGGUAGCCGGCCUGAGAGGGCGACCGGCCACACUGGGACUGAGACACGGCCCAGACUCCUACGGGAGGCAGCAGUGGGGAAUAUUGCACAAUGGGCGAAAGCCUGAUGCAGCGACGCCGCGUGAGGGAUGACGGCCUUCGGGUUGUAAACCUCUUUCAGCAGGGAAGAAGCGCAAGUGACGGUACCUGCAGAAGAAGCACCGGCUAACUACGUGCCAGCAGCCGCGGUAAUACGUAGGGUGCGAGCGUUGUCCGGAAUUAUUGGGCGUAAAGAGCUCGUAGGCGGCCUGUCGCGUCGGAUGUGAAAGCCCGGGGCUUAACCCCGGGUCUGCAUUCGAUACGGGCAGGCUAGAGUGUGGUAGGGGAGAUCGGAAUUCCUGGUGUAGCGGUGAAAUGCGCAGAUAUCAGGAGGAACACCGGUGGCGAAGGCGGAUCUCUGGGCCAUUACUGACGCUGAGGAG
This 641-nucleotide ribosomal RNA is filed under the name Streptomyces sp. I15A-00493. Its description in RNAcentral is "bacterial SSU rRNA". It matches the Rfam family "Bacterial small subunit ribosomal RNA", at positions 98 to 753 of the family's 1533-position model. The record is from RNAcentral. Lineage: Bacteria; Bacillati; Actinomycetota; Actinomycetes; Kitasatosporales; Streptomycetaceae.